GGCGCAUGGGGCAGGCAUCCGCCCCGUAGGAUGCGGUAAUGUGCGCCGGAAUAUCGGUCAUGGCUUCAAACCCCAUAUGCGUCC
This 84-nucleotide transfer RNA is filed under the name Komagataeibacter diospyri. RNAcentral describes it as "tRNA-Pro". The record is from RNAcentral. Lineage: Bacteria; Pseudomonadati; Pseudomonadota; Alphaproteobacteria; Acetobacterales; Acetobacteraceae.